RNAcentral lists this non-coding RNA (27 nucleotides) under Cricetulus griseus (Chinese hamster). Lineage: Eukaryota; Metazoa; Chordata; Mammalia; Rodentia; Cricetidae. The record is from RNAcentral.
ACAACUGAACAAAAUUCUUAGAGCUAC